UCCUCCGUAGCGCAAUGGUUAGUGCGACGGCCUGUGAAUCCGAAGACCCGGGUUCGAUUCCCGGCGGAGAAU
This is a non-coding RNA of Penaeus vannamei (Pacific white shrimp), 72 nucleotides long. The record is from the annotation of a RefSeq genome assembly. NCBI's taxonomy places the organism in Eukaryota, Metazoa, Arthropoda, Malacostraca, Decapoda, Penaeidae.